Molecule: long non-coding RNA, 2268 nt
Organism: Canis lupus familiaris (dog)
Lineage: Eukaryota; Metazoa; Chordata; Mammalia; Carnivora; Canidae
Exons: 4
Source: RefSeq, a predicted model, not a curated record
UGGCACACAGAGAGAUCUGAAGGGGCUCCACUGCAGGCGGUGAAGAUGAGGAAGGGGCCGCAAGCCGAGGAAGGCAGGUGCCCCUAGAAGCUGAAUUCUCCCUUAGACCUUCCAGAAGGAACCCAGCCCUGUGGACACUUUGCUUUCAGGACUGCUGCCUUCCAGAACUUCCAGAUAAUACAUUUGCAUUGUUUAAGCAAUUGAGCUUGCAGAGAUUUGUUUCAGCAGCAGUAGGAAGCUGCUACAACUCCCACUUUGCAGCUGGGGUAACCGAGGCUCGUCUGCUCAGAGACAGGUGGCCCCUCGGAAGGCACUGUCUUCCGCAGGAGACGUCCUGUCCUUGUGGCCGUGCCCGUCUGCAGGGGCGGUGACCAGCGCCAAAGAAGCCUGUGCCGCUGCUCUGGGGCCUGUCAGGCCUCACACGGGAGGGACCAGAUGCCAUGCGGCAUUUCUCCGGGCCCGAGAUCCUGACUCAGGCCACACUCCCAGUCCCUCCACCACUGCCAGGCUGAUGCACUGGAAAAAAAAGAAAAAAGAAAGAAAAAAAAAAGCCAGCAUUUUGCAGAACUUUUGCUCCAUUAUCGGAUGUUGGGGGCCAGCCCCUGAGAGCUCUCCUCAGCACUCCUCCUUCCAAUUGAGAGCCCUCAGAGAGCCCAGCAGGGGCUGCACAUAGCAGGCAUGCUCGAUACUGCUGCUGCCUGAAUCGCCCACAUGCUGGCGGAGGCCGACUCUGCAUCACCACGCGCACUUUGACGAAGCCACUCUCCCCUCCUUCAUCCACUCGGAGCAAUCACUAAAAAGAGCAAGAGAAAUGCUUUACUAUCAAGCAAAAAUGCAAGAUGCCAAAUUGGGCAAAGAACAAAAAGGAACGUACACACUGAAUGUGCACGUGGUAAGCGCCAGGAGGGAGCUCACAAACGUGACCUCUGGACGAGUGGAGGAAUAUGGAAAGUCUUCAUUUGCAAAGCUCCCAGUACUGGCAGCGCCGUGGCUGCAGCUCCAGCUCGGAGAGGAGGAGGGACUCAGCCAUGCAGCCACUGGAGCUCAGGCACUUCGAUACCUGCUGUUGAUUCCCUGAGAGUCCUUGAUGCGGAACCCACCCGGGAACUUGAGAGAGCCGUGAGAAACCAUUUCCCAAAAGCCUUCCCAGACUUUAUCUGGCCCAAGUUCCCAGGUGACGGGGUUGCAAGGCCGCCCGCCACGCCCACGGUGACAGAGCCUGACUCCCAGCUCGCAGGAGCAUCCUUCACGCCGCGGCGGGUCAGGAACGUCGUCUUCAGACUUGAUGAAAUUUUCAUUCCUGACGUUAAUGGUGUCUUUCUCUCCGCCCCGCUCCCCAAUCUAACCAGACCAAAUACAGGAGGCCGUGGAGGGCAGGCAGCAGGCAUCUGGGGACACAUAGGCCUCCUCCUGUGCUUGUGUCUUACUUACAACCACUACACAAUAUCCCGUCAGGGCCACGCCACCCUCACUUAACCAAAUGCCUAUCCUUCGAGCAUUGAGCUGUUCCUACCUCUAUUGCUAUAAGCAAUAGUUCUGAACAUCUUUGUGCAUAAUUUUCCUUCCAAAUUCUAGAUGAUUUCCUUUGAGACAUUUCCAGAGGCAUAGUUCCUGGAUCAAAGGCAAAAGCCUUUUAAGGUCUUAGAUACAUAUGCCAAACGGUCUCCUGAGACGUCGGUGUGCAGCCCUGCAUGAGUCCAGCCAAACUAGCCAGUGCGGGGCGAAUGCUUGGUCUUUUUUUUUUUUUUUUUUUUUAAGAUUUUAUUUAUUUAUUCUUGAGAGACAGAGACACAGGCAGAGGGAGAAGCAGGCUUCAUGCAGGGAGCCUGACGUGGGACUCAAUCCCGGGACCCCAGGAUCACGGCCUGGGCCGAAGGCGGUGCUAAACCACUGAGCCACCCGGGCUGCCCCAAAUGCUUGGUCUUGAAUCCUUCGUUAAUCAAACUCACUGGAAGUCAUACAAGAGCUUCAGAUGGACAGAAGCUCCCACCAGGAUGACCACGCUGAGCUGACAUGAUUCCAUGCCAAAGUGAGGUGUGUGCUGUUUUCACAGCCUUCUAGCUCCAGAGCAGGGACGCGAGGUUCUUUUGUACCAUUCUGGAAGAUGGAGAAACCGGAUGACACAGGUUCUGGGAACCAAGAUGGCCUCACCUCCCUCCAUGCAGGUGACCCUGCCAUCUCUGCUCCUGUGUCGGGGUUUCCUAAAUGCACUCCCUGUGUUGGCUGUAGUUAUGUGAACAUUUACUUGUUGCUUAAAAUUAAGGUAAA